Molecule: regulatory RNA element, 87 nt
Organism: Cupriavidus sp. HPC(L)
Lineage: Bacteria; Pseudomonadati; Pseudomonadota; Betaproteobacteria; Burkholderiales; Burkholderiaceae
Rfam family: Xanthine riboswitch aptamer (NMT1 RNA)
About the family: Later it was reported as a ncRNA that recognised Xanthine.
Source: Rfam
CGAUCGAGUAGAAGCGGUUAGCGCCAACGCAUCCCCAACGCAUCGCCAUCGCAGGCCGAUGCCCCGGCGCGGGACAUUGCUCUCACG